This is a long non-coding RNA of Cervus elaphus (red deer), 479 nucleotides long. RefSeq lists it as uncharacterized. The record is from RefSeq and is a predicted model, not a curated record. The transcript has 3 exons. Lineage: Eukaryota; Metazoa; Chordata; Mammalia; Artiodactyla; Cervidae.
GUCAACCUGGCCUCGGGUCUCCUGGGCGGUGGAGCUCGUCUGGGGCUGUGCGUGGGGCUGCCAGGCCUGGCCCUUGGCUCACCUGCAUCUACUCUGAAAACUGAACACAGUUCCUUUGCUGCUUAGAUAGGCUGCGAGUCCUGCAGGUGGCUGGCUGGUCAAGCUGGGAGAGUAGGGUUUGGGUGAUGUCUGCGCCUGAGUCACGUUCUGGGACAUGACAAUUCCAUGACCGGUUACCACUGAAGAGAGCCAAGACAAUGAGUGGAAUCAGGCCAUGCGUGGGGCCAAGAUAAACUGGGCUAACGCUCCAAUGUCCAGAAUGGCUUGGUGCCUGGACACCACCCCUGUGAACACCAAGCCUCCUAGCCCCUGCCUUGCCUUUCUGGUAGGCGAGAUUUCCCCACAUGCUACCACGCCACCAAACCACAUCUAGCAAGGCAGAAGCUUGAGUAUGUUAUUGUAUUACAACAUUCUUAUAA